This 351-nucleotide ribosomal RNA is filed under the name uncultured bacterium. RNAcentral describes it as "bacterial SSU rRNA". It matches the Rfam family "Bacterial small subunit ribosomal RNA", at positions 917 to 1267 of the family's 1533-position model. The record is from RNAcentral.
GGACCCGCACAAGUAGUGGAGCAUGUGGUUUAAUUCGAAGAUACGCGCAGAACCUUACCAACACUUGACAUGUUCGUCGCGACUUUAAGAGAUUAAAGUUUUCGGUUCGGCCGGACGAAACACAGGUGCUGCAUGGCUGUCGUCAGCUCGUGUCGUGAGAUGUUGGUUAAGUCCCGCAACGAGCGCAACCCUCACUUUUAGUUGCCAUCAUUAAGUUGGGCACUCUGAAAGAACUGCCAGUGAUAAGCUGGAGGAAGGUGGGGAUGACGUCAAGUCCUCAUGGCCCUUACAUCCUGGGCUACACACGUACUACAAUGCCGGUACAGAGAGCAGCCACUACGCGAGUAGGAG